RNAcentral lists this ribosomal RNA (266 nucleotides) under uncultured bacterium. Its description in RNAcentral is "partial 16S ribosomal RNA". It matches the Rfam family "Bacterial small subunit ribosomal RNA", at positions 89 to 354 of the family's 1533-position model. The record is from RNAcentral.
UGGCGACCGGCGCACGGGUGAGUAACACGUAUCCAACCUGCCGAUGACUCGGGGAUAGCCUUUCGGAAAAGAAAGAUUAAUACCCGAUGGCAUAGUUCUUCCGCAUGGUAGAACUAUUAAAGAAUUUCGGUCAUCGAUGGGGAUGCGUUCCAUUAGCUUGUUGGCGGGGUAACGGCCCACCAAGGCAUCGAUGGAUAGGGGUUCUGAGAGGAAGGUCCCCCACAUUGGAACUGAGACACGGUCCAAACUCCUACGGGAGGCAGCAG